Long non-coding RNA from Cyprinus carpio (common carp), 339 nucleotides. RefSeq lists it as uncharacterized. Lineage: Eukaryota; Metazoa; Chordata; Actinopteri; Cypriniformes; Cyprinidae. The record is from RefSeq and is a predicted model, not a curated record. The transcript is spliced from 2 exons.
CGUCAGCUCUCUGCUUUCUGGUGUGGCAAACGGCUGCGUUAUUUGGAGCUGUGUGUCCGACGGCAGUGAGGCUUUCCUUCACCGUGUGCUGUGUUAUGCUGUGUGAGCACCACUGAUAAAAUCACGGGUAUUGGAGUGAGUGUGUGUGUGUGUGUGUGCACUUAGUGUGAUUCUCCUCUUUUGCUCCCUCUCUUAGCCCAUUUGAUGCCAAUAGGCUACAGCUCCGAAGUAAAUGUGAAUCCUUAUUGUGGAUUGUGAUUUCCAGCUUAGUAAUUGGCUGGGUGACUAUUAUUCCUGCAUUUUAAACUUUUGUACUAAUAAACAAACUCUAUUUUGCUA